Aedes aegypti (yellow fever mosquito) is the source of this 267-nucleotide long non-coding RNA. RefSeq lists it as uncharacterized. The transcript is spliced from 2 exons. Lineage: Eukaryota; Metazoa; Arthropoda; Insecta; Diptera; Culicidae. The record is from RefSeq and is a predicted model, not a curated record.
CCGGAUUUUCUACCAUUCUUUGGAUUUGCCUUUCCAUUUGGACUAAUCGAAAACUUCACUCAAAGAUUUUGUAAGAAUCUGUACUCCAUUUGAGAAGUGAAAGGAAAGCAAUGGCACGACAUGACUAGACCCUUGGCAAUCCGGAAACAUAUGGAAACGAGUGUAAAACCUCCAUCAGGAAAAAUAGUGUCCGCAAUAACACCAUGAACGCUAGUGUGUAAUUGGAAUCGAUGGCAAUAUGAAUACAAUUAUUAUAUUUUUACCUUA